GACGAACGCUGGCGGCGUGCUUAACACAUGCCAGUCGAACGGAAAGGCCCUGCUUUUGUGGGGUGCUCGAGUGGCGAACGGGUGAGUAACACGUGAGUAACCUGCCCUUGACUUUGGGAUAACUUCAGGAAACUGGGGCUAAUACCGGAUAGGAGCUCCUGCUGCAUGGUGGGGGUUGGAAAGUUUCGGCGGUUGGGGAUGGACUCGCGGCUUAUCAGCUUGUUGGUGGGGUAGUGGCUUACCAAGGCUUUGACGGGUAGCCGGCCUGAGAGGGUGACCGGCCACAUUGGGACUGAGAUACGGCCCAGACUCCUACGGGAGGCAGCAGUGGGGAAUAUUGCACAAUGGGCGGAGCCUGAUGCAGCAACGCCGCGUGCGGGAUGACGGCCUUCGGGUUGUAAACCGCUUUCGCCUGUGACGAAGCGUGAGUGACGGUAAUGGGUAAAGAAGCACCGGCUAACUACGUG
RNAcentral lists this ribosomal RNA (467 nucleotides) under uncultured bacterium. RNAcentral describes it as "partial 16S ribosomal RNA". It matches the Rfam family "Bacterial small subunit ribosomal RNA", at positions 28 to 507 of the family's 1533-position model. The record is from RNAcentral.